This 563-nucleotide long non-coding RNA is filed under the name Mus musculus (house mouse). RNAcentral's name for it is "RIKEN cDNA 1700102H20 gene (1700102H20Rik)". The record is from RNAcentral. Lineage: Eukaryota; Metazoa; Chordata; Mammalia; Rodentia; Muridae.
AAACCUGCCGGAAAUGACGAAACUGACAGGAAGUCUGUAUGUACUGGGAGCUCAGGACGCGUCAGGCCGAAAGCGGUGCAGGUGUAGUCUUGCGAAACAGGACACAUAUUGCUAACUUCCGAUUAAAACAGGAUCAAGAAAGCCCUGCGAGGCCACGAAUUUCGUAAAGCUGGAAGUUCACAGAUUCCAGCUGUAGUCUAGUGCAUGCGCGGUGGCUGCUGUUUUUAAGCAAUGCCAGCAAGGGAAGAAAUACCAGCAAGUACAGUCAUUCAACCUACCCAGGGUCACCAGCAAUGCAUCUAGAGAAGAUACCCCGAGUUCUUCACGUUUCAAGUUCCAAGUUCAGUAGCCAAGCUUCUCAAAUACUGUAUCAACUGAAAUUAUUUUAAGUUAAUUAACAUGUUCAUUUUGUGUUAUUUAAAUGUAUAGAAAUAUGAAAUUAGGUGUAGACUUAGAUCUACAGUUUUCAUAUGACUACUAAAAUCACACAAUAAAAAUAUGCAAACCCACCAAACCAACACACAUGGCUUUAUUAUUUUAUAAUAAAGAUGCCAUAAAAAUCA